This 871-nucleotide ribosomal RNA is filed under the name Sunxiuqinia sp. RNAcentral's name for it is "bacterial SSU rRNA". It matches the Rfam family "Bacterial small subunit ribosomal RNA", at positions 70 to 939 of the family's 1533-position model. Lineage: Bacteria; Pseudomonadati; Bacteroidota; Bacteroidia; Marinilabiliales; Prolixibacteraceae. The record is from RNAcentral.
ACAUUGUAGCUUGCUACAGAUGACGACCGGCGCACGGGUGAGUAACGCGUAUGCAACCUGCCUUUGACAGGGGGAUAGCCCGGAGAAAUCCGGAUUAAUAUCCCAUGGUAUUUACGAAUCGCAUGGUUUGUAAAUUAAAGAUUUUAUCGGUCAAAGAUGGGCAUGCGUGACAUUAGCUAGUUGGUAAGGUAACGGCUUACCAAGGCUGCGAUGUCUAGGGGUUCUGAGAGGAUGAUCCCCCACACUGGUACUGAGACACGGACCAGACUCCUACGGGAGGCAGCAGUGAGGAAUAUUGGUCAAUGGGCGCAAGCCUGAACCAGCCAUCCCGCGUGAAGGAAGACUGCCCUAUGGGUUGUAAACUUCUUUUCUGCACCAAGAAUGGUUACUACGUGUAGUGAUUUGACGGUAGUGCAGGAAUAAGCAUCGGCUAACUCCGUGCCAGCAGCCGCGGUAAUACGGAGGAUGCAAGCGUUAUCCGGAUUCAUUGGGUUUAAAGGGUACGUAGGUGGCCAAUUAAGUCAGUGGUGAAAUCCUGCCGCUUAACGGUAGAACUGCCAUUGAAACUGGUUGGCUUGAGUACAGUUGAGGUAGGCGGAAUGUGUAGUGUAGCGGUGAAAUGCUUAGAUAUUACACAGAACCCCGAUUGCGAAGGCAGCUUACUAAACUGUAACUGACACUGAGGUACGAAAGCGUGGGGAGCGAACAGGAUUAGAUACCCUGGUAGUCCACGCUGUAAACGAUGCUCACUCGCUGUAUGCGAUACAUUGUAUGCGGCCAAGCGAAAGUCUUAAGUGAGCCACCUGGGGGAGUACGUUGGCAACAGUGAAACUCAAAGGAAUUGACGGGGGCCCGCACAAGCGGAGGAACA